GUGGGUAGGGGAGAAAUUCCAAUCGAACCCGGAGAUAGCUGGUUCUCCCCGAAAUAGCUUUAGGGCUAGCCCGCGACGAGGCUGGCGGAGGUAGAGCACUGAACUGCCUAGGGGGCGUCACAGCCUACCGAAGCAAAUCAAACUCCGAAUGCCGCACAGCCGUUGACGCGGAGUCAGACCGUACGAGAUAAGUUGGACGGUCGAGAGGGAAAAAGCCCAGACCGCCGGCCAAGGCCCCCAAGUGCGCGUUAAGUGGAAAAGGAUGUGGGGCCUCGAGGACAGCUAGGAUGUUGGCUCAGAAGCAGCCACGCAUUCAAAGAGUGCGUAACAGCUCACUAGUCGAGAGGCCCCGCGCCGAAAAUGUCCGGGGCUCAAACGCGCCGCCGAAGCCGCGGAACCGUGCUUCGCACGGUUGGUAGGGGAGCAUCCCCGGUGCGGCGAAGCGCCACCGAAAGGGGGCGUGGAGCGCCGGGGAGGGAGAAUGCCGGAAUGAGUAGCGAGAGCAAGGUGGGAAUCCUUGCGGCCGAAUAUCCAAGGUUUCCAGGGUGAAGCUGAUCUGCCCUGGGUAAGUCGGGGCCUAAGGCGAGGGCGAAGGCCGUAGCCGAUGGACAACGGGUGGAGAUUCCCGUACCCCGCGUGGACAGAACUGUGGGGACGCGGGCGGAAGUGCGAGGCCGGGAUGGGAACUCCCGGCGCAAGCGGGGACCCCGGGCGGCAGGAAAAUCCGCCGCCCGAAGGGGGAGCCGCGACGCGGACCGAACCAUAGGGUAGGGAACCGCGCAGGACCGCCCGCCGAGAAAAGCCGCUAUGGCUCCACGCGGGCCCGUACCGCAAACCGACACAGGUGGAUGGGGAGAGAAUCCCGAGGCCGGCGGGGGAAGCGUUGUCAAGGAACUCGGCAAAAUGGCCCCGUAACUUCGGGAGAAGGGGCGCCCGCGAAGGCGGGCCGCAGAGAAAAGGUCCAAGCAACUGUUUAGCAAAAACACAGGUCUAUGCGAAGCCGCAAGGCGAGGUAUAUGGGCUGACGCCUGCCCGGUGCCGGAAGGUUAAGGGGAGGGCUUAGCGCCUCGGCGCGAGGGUCCGAUCCGAAGCCCCGGUAAACGGCGGCCGUAACUAUAACGGUCCUAAGGUAGCGAAAUUCCUUGUCGGGUAAGUUCCGACCCGCACGAAAGGCGCAAUGAUUUGGACGCUGUCUCGACAACGCACCCGGUGAAAUUGAAGUGCCAGUGAAGAUGCUGGCUACCCGCGCCAGGACGGAAAGACCCCAUGGAGCUUUACUCCAGUUUGGCGCUGGGGUCCGGUGCGGCACGUACAGGAUAGGUGGGAGGCUUUGAACCCGCGGCGCCAGCCGCGGGGGAGCCGCCGUUGGGAUACCACCCCUGCCGUACCAGGCCCCUAACCGUCCGCCGUGAAGCCGGCGGCGGGACAC
RNAcentral lists this ribosomal RNA (1429 nucleotides) under termite gut metagenome. RNAcentral describes it as "bacterial LSU rRNA". It matches the Rfam family "Bacterial large subunit ribosomal RNA", at positions 811 to 2254 of the family's 2925-position model. The record is from RNAcentral.